UACAGAGACCUCAAGCGUUAUCCGGAAUCAUUGGGCGUAAAGCGUACCGAUAGGUGGUUAUGAAAGUCAGAAGUGAAAUCUCAAGGCUCAACUUUGAGACUGUCUUUUGAAACUUCAUGACUAGAGGGGCAAAGAGGAAGCUAGAACGAACGGUGUAGUAGUGAAAUGCGUUGAUAUCGUUCGGAAUACCAAUAGCGAAGGCAGGCUUCUGGGUGCCACCUGACACUGCUAGGACGAAAGCGUGGGGAGCGAAUGGG
Molecule: ribosomal RNA, 257 nt
Filed under: uncultured prokaryote
Description: partial 16S ribosomal RNA
Rfam family: Bacterial small subunit ribosomal RNA
Source: RNAcentral